UACGGAGGGGGCUAGCGUUGUUCGGAAUUACUGGGCGUAAAGCGCACGUAGGCGGAUCAGAAAGUCAGAGGUGAAAUCCCAGGGCUCAACCUUGGAACUGCCUUUGAAACUCCUGAUCUUGAGUUCGAGAGAGGUGAGUGGAAUUCCGAGUGUAGAGGUGAAAUUCGUAGAUAUUCGGAGGAACACCAGUGGCGAAGGCGGCUCACUGGCUCGAUACUGACGCUGAGGUGCGAAAGCGUGGGGAGCAAACAGG
RNAcentral lists this ribosomal RNA (253 nucleotides) under uncultured bacterium. RNAcentral describes it as "partial 16S ribosomal RNA". It matches the Rfam family "Bacterial small subunit ribosomal RNA", at positions 524 to 776 of the family's 1533-position model. The record is from RNAcentral.